AUUAAUUAAUGGCUUUACAGUAAUAGUGAGUUAACAGAAUAAUAUUUUAGAUUAUUAUUUGAAAAGUACGGAUGAAAUGAGUUAUUUCAUUAAAUCUUAGGAAUGAAAAUAUUUUUUUUCUUUUUUUUUAAUUACAUUUUACGAUAACACGAAAGCAUGUGCUGAAGGUCACGUGAGUUGCGGCAACGCACGCGUCCCCCGUGAUAAGUCACGUGGGACGGUCGCUCCGCAUUUUAGCUUUCGGAGUGGAGUAGAAGCUUUUGAGUCUGGGUUGAAUGAAUGCUUGUUGCCAAGGGCAUUAUCAAUGAACAAUUUGGGCCGCUGAAUAUGUUAACAAACAAUGACCGGUCAAAUUGUGUGCUGCAGCCUGCAGGGCGACAGGCUUUAGUGGCAAGCCCAUGCCCACUGGCCUUUCUCCUUUUCCUUUUUGCAAAAGAGGAAGAAACGUGUUACUCUGGGUGCCAAUUAAGCAACCAAUUCUCCUUCGUGGCCAAGGAAGUGGCGUACUUUUUGCAGUUUGCUUGUUCUUGUAAAAUGUAAACGAACGCCAGACAAGCAGUUUACUUAACGUUGUAAAAAUUUAAUUUGAUAAUUUUUCUCUUUCAAGUAAUCACUUUAAUUUGUUCCCUGAUGCCAUAAUGGUGGCCAGUUUUCUAGCAAUUUCUCUCGCUGCUUCUGUUACUUUAAAGAAUAUUAGGAAUUUGUAAAUUAACAUAAAAUAAGAUUAAAAAAAAUGAGCCUUGCCCAUUGCAUCAUGCUGCCAACUGCCAAGGUUCCAAUGGAAAGAGUCAUGUGGCAACUUCGCGUUUGGGUCUGGGCUUUUCACCAUACAUGGGCUGUACGAGCAAUUCCGAGACCACCAGCCCAUGAAAGAUGAGGGUUUAUUUAGAGAUGAUCCAUCAUUUGUCAAAUACUCAAUUUGUUUGAGAGUUGGACUAUUGUCACCUCUCUAAAAUUCUUUUGAAACCCCUUUUUCAAUAAUGUUAAGCUUAAUGCCAAAAAUACUCUUAUUUUUAAAUAAACACAUUUAAUUUGUAAAUCUUUUAAUUUACAUUAUUUUCUUGCUCCUCACAAACAAAUUUUUAUGGGUGAUAAACUUCUUUACAAAAAUCAAUUAAUUAAAUAACAUAUUUGUAAGAUUAUGAUGUAAAAAGUUUUAUUAUAAGCCUUAAAAAAAGACAGAUAAUUUUGUCAGAAUGUAUUUUAUUUAUUAUCAAUAGAUUGUCUUAGUAAUUGAAAAAAAAUUUAUAGAGAAUUUGAGGAAAAAAAUUACAUGUGUGAGUUUGAUAGCAAAGAAAAUACCA
RNAcentral lists this long non-coding RNA (1304 nucleotides) under Citrus x clementina. RNAcentral describes it as "Citrus clementina (C. clementina) long non-coding RNA (CCLE_LNC006455)". The record is from RNAcentral. Lineage: Eukaryota; Viridiplantae; Streptophyta; Magnoliopsida; Sapindales; Rutaceae.